UUUCAUUAUGGAUUAAAAUCAAAUGUGUGUUCAGAUAUAUUCAAUUUCAUUGUGGAUUAAAAUCAAAUGUGUGUUCAACUAUAAUCAAUUUCAUUGUGGAUUAAAAUCAAAUGUGUGUUCAGCUAUCAUAUUCGAUUCAUUGUGGAUUAAAAUCAAAUAUGAGUUCAGAAAUAUAUUAGAUUUCAUUGUGGAUUAAAAUCAAAUGUGUGCUCAGCUAUAUUCGAUUUCAUUGUGAAUUAAAAUAAAAUGUGUGUUCAACUAUAAUCAAUUUCAUUGUGGAUUAAAAUCAAAGGUGUGUUCAGCUAUCAUAUUCGAUUCAUUGUGGAUUAAAAUCAAAUAUGAGUUCAGAUAUAUAUUAGAUUUCAUUGUGGAUUAAAAUCAAAUGUGUGUUCAGCUAUAUUCGAUUUCAUUGUGGAUUAAAAUCAAAUGUAUGUUCAGCUAUAUUUGAUUUCAUUGUGGAUUAAAUCAAAUGUGUGUUCAGCUAUAUUCGAUUUCAUUGUGGAUUACAAAGAUGAUAUUGUUAUAGCAGCUAAUAAUGCAUGACAAACGGAUACUCUUUAAUGUAUACAAGAUGGACUUACCUCUGUUCAGAUGAAGACAGUGCACGUCUUUCAUUUAAAAGAUUAAAUCGAAGUUUGGCAACAGACGGCGGCACAUCGGGCACAACACUAUACCCACUUCCACGUUGUAGCUUCAUCCCAGCGGCCAGAACUUCGUCUUGAUCUAUCAGACUAUUAAAGCGCACAAUAAUCUUUCUCUUC
This is a long non-coding RNA of Mytilus trossulus (common blue mussel), 761 nucleotides long. RefSeq lists it as uncharacterized. The transcript is spliced from 2 exons. The record is from RefSeq and is a predicted model, not a curated record. Lineage: Eukaryota; Metazoa; Mollusca; Bivalvia; Mytilida; Mytilidae.